GCGGCCUGCACCUCAGCUUCCUCCGCACGGUUAUCCCUGUACCCGCCGCCAUCCAUCCUGGCGCUCCGGAUGAGUCAAUGAGGGGCAGCGCCCGAGGAAUGGUCUUCCCAAGAACCCCCGGUGGCCUCCCAAGGCCGGCCUCGUGGGCUGUGCGGCUCUCCUGGAGACAGAUGACAGCUCUCCCUUGGAUGGCUUUGCUAGUUUCGCACCAGCCAGCGCCCCAUUUUUCCUGCAGCACCCUGAUCCGCACUCCCUGAGGGGCUCCCACUGUCCGCGGUGUGAGGAUGUCCCUGGAAAUUGGUCUUCUGUGACUUUCUUGAUGGGGGCAGGUGAGAUGUUUGUACUGCAUUAAGUGGAUAGCGCUCAGGUCCUUUGGGCUUGGCGCUUUGGCAAUCUCCAAGCAGCUCACUUUGGCCUCAGUUCCUGGAUCCCCUCUGUUCUUUUCUGCGCCUGCAUUCAUAGUCCACUGUGUGCAGAGGCAUGGGAGUUGUCAUGUCGAUAACAUGCUAGACCUCAGUGUCCUUGAGGGAUGCCGCCUUGGGUCUGGAGACUGUU
RNAcentral lists this long non-coding RNA (555 nucleotides) under Pongo abelii (Sumatran orangutan). RNAcentral's name for it is "lincRNA". Lineage: Eukaryota; Metazoa; Chordata; Mammalia; Primates; Hominidae. The record is from RNAcentral.